GCAAGGAUGGUGGAAUUGGUAGACACGCUACUUUGAGGGGGUAGUUGGCUUAGCCAGUGAGGGUUCGAGUCCCUUUCCUUGUA
RNAcentral lists this transfer RNA (83 nucleotides) under Hypnocyclicus thermotrophus. It matches the Rfam family "tRNA". From Rfam's summary of the family: Transfer RNA (tRNA) molecules are approximately 80 nucleotides in length. Their secondary structure includes four short double-helical elements and three loops (D, anti-codon, and T loops). Further hydrogen bonds mediate the characteristic L-shaped molecular structure. tRNAs have two regions of fundamental functional importance: the anti-codon, which is responsible for specific mRNA codon recognition, and the 3' end, to which the tRNAs corresponding amino acid is attached (by aminoacyl-tRNA synthetases). tRNAs cope with the degeneracy of the genetic code in two manners: having more than one tRNA (with a specific anti-codon) for a particular amino acid; and 'wobble' base-pairing, i.e. permitting non-standard base-pairing at the 3rd anti-codon position. Lineage: Bacteria; Fusobacteriati; Fusobacteriota; Fusobacteriia; Fusobacteriales; Fusobacteriaceae. The record is from Rfam by way of RNAcentral.